RNAcentral lists this long non-coding RNA (1939 nucleotides) under Marmota monax (woodchuck). The record is from RNAcentral. Lineage: Eukaryota; Metazoa; Chordata; Mammalia; Rodentia; Sciuridae.
AUCGAACCCGGGCUGCACACAUGCCAGGCGAGCGCGCUACCGGUUGAGCCACAUCCCCAGCCCCCAGUCCUUUUUAUUUUUUAAUUUGAGACAGGGUCUCACCAAAUUGCUGAUGGUCUUGCUAAAUUUCUGAGACUGGCCUCAAACUUGGGUCCUCCUGUCUCAGCAUCUGGAGUUGCUGGAAUUAUAGGCAUGUGCUACCAUACCCAGCUUCUAUAUAUAUAUACUUCAGUGUAUAUGUGCGGGAAUUGAACCCAAGGCCUCAAUGAGAGGCAAGCACUCUACCACUGAGCCGUUGUGCUACACUCAUAGUCCUUUUGCAUGUAUUUUGAAGGUAGAACCAAGAUUGCUGACAGUUUGGAGGAAGGCAUAUGAGAAACAUAUGCCAAGGGGUAGAAGUACCACCUGUGUACAUGGAAGCUUGUGGGAGAUGUGGGUCAGUAGUUCAGCCAAAGGUGGUUUAGAUGAAAUGCCAGUUGGAUAUCCAAGUGAUGUUGACAAGAUGAUUGCAGCUUCAAGUCUGGUGUUAAAAAGCCUGGGGCUUCAGGUAAGAAAUGGCCUCAUGGGUAUGUAGAUCAUAUUUAUAGUCAUAACACUGGGCCAGCUCUACAAAGAGACUAUGAAGAAGAUAUAAGCCAUGAUGACUAAAACCUAAGUACCCCACAUUGCAAAGAGGAAGAGGCAGCAGAGCAGCCUAAGUAGCAGUGUGAGGCCUGUGUGAAGGAAAAGGCGGUGACCUACCAUGUCACUAAGACUAGUAGGUCAAGGGCAAUAGACAGAGCUACUUACUGGAUAUAGACAUGUGGAGUCCAAUUUCCCAGGAUUCUCUGACCUGAUCAGUGCCUAACUUUCACAUAAUAGACCCAAUGAGGGGCUGAGGGUAUAACUCAGAGGUAGAUUGCUUGCCUAGCAAGUGAGAGGUCCUGGGUUCAAACCUCAGCACCAAAAAAAAAAAAAAAAAAAAGAAAAUUUAGGCUGUGAAUUCAAUCAGUAUUUUAAUCUGGAAACCAUAGAAUCAGUCCUGGAAUUAAAUUUUAAUAAUUAGUGCCUUGACAUAGAAGCAACCGCUUAACACUACAAUCCUGGAUUUCUUAGCUCAUCAUGCUAGUCUUUUUUUUUUUUUUUUUAAUCUUUAAUACCUUAAUUUUAUUUAUUUCUGUGUGGUGCUAAGGAUCAAAUCCAGUGCCUCACACAUGCUGGGUGAGCACUCUACCACUGUGCUACAAUCCCAGACCCUCUUUAUGCUAUUCUAAGGCCUUGUUAUAGUUUAGAUAUUAGAUGUCCCCCCAAAGCUCAUGUGUGAGGUAAUGCAUGAAAGUUUAGAGGUGAAAUGAUUGGGUUAUAAGAAAGAAUCUUAAGCCAAUCAGUUCAUUAAUCCAGUGAUAAGGAUUAAAUGGGUGGUAACUGUAGGUAGGUUGGGUGUGGCUGGAGGAAGUAGGUCAAUGGGGGUAUGCCCUUGGGUUUAUAUUUUGUGCAUGGGAAGGGGAGUUCUCUGCUUCCUGGCCCCAUGUCUUCAACUGCUUUCCUCUGCCACCCACUUCCACCAUGAUGGUCUGUCUCUCCUCAAGCUCCAAGCAAUGGAGCCGGCCUUCUAUGGACUGAGACCUCUGAAACUAUGAGUCCUCAAAUAAACUUUUCCUACUCUAAUUGUUCUUGUCAGGUCUUUUGGUCACAGCAGCAAAAAAAGCUGACUAAAACACUUGUCUUCAAUAUGUUCAGGCCUCCUACGGUGUCGUUUUUUCAAUAUCAAUGUGUGCAAGGAGAAGGUAGCUCACCAACAGCCAAUUCUGUUUCUGACACCAACUUGAGCAUCCAAUAAUUUAAUUCAAUUCUUAUAUUAACUCUUGAAGUUAGCACAAACCCCACAGGUUAAGGGCUUAGUCCCUCAAGUCUGCCCACCCGCUUACAGUACCAGUCAGAAGUCCAGGGGGGCCAUACU